Molecule: ribosomal RNA, 425 nt
Filed under: uncultured Oscillospiraceae bacterium
Lineage: Bacteria; Bacillati; Bacillota; Clostridia; Eubacteriales; Oscillospiraceae
Description: bacterial SSU rRNA
Rfam family: Bacterial small subunit ribosomal RNA
Source: RNAcentral
GGGGAAUAUUGGGCGAUGGGCGCAACCCUGACCCAGCAACGCCGCGUGAAGGAAGAAGGCUUUCGGGUUGUAAACUUCUUUUACCAGGGACGAAAAAAGUAGACGGUACCUGGAGAAAAAGCAACGGCUAACUACGUGCCAGCAGCCGCGGUAAUACGUAGGUUGCAAGCGUUGUCCGGAUUUACUGGGUGUAAAGGGCGUGUAGGCGGAGAUGCAAGUUGGGAGUGAAAUCCAUGGGCUCAACCCAUGAACUGCUCUCAAAACUGUAUCCCUUGAGUAUCGGAGAGGCAAGCGGAAUUCCUAGUGUAGCGGUGAAAUGCGUAGAUAUUAGGAGGAACACCAGUGGCGAAGGCGGCUUGCUGGACGACAACUGACGCUGAGGCGCGAAAGCGUGGGGAGCAAACAGGAUUAGAUACCCUGGUAGU